This 72-nucleotide transfer RNA is filed under the name Chlamydiota bacterium. RNAcentral describes it as "Chlamydiae bacterium (freshwater metagenome) tRNA-Thr". It matches the Rfam family "tRNA". From Rfam's summary of the family: Transfer RNA (tRNA) molecules are approximately 80 nucleotides in length. Their secondary structure includes four short double-helical elements and three loops (D, anti-codon, and T loops). The record is from RNAcentral. Lineage: Bacteria; Pseudomonadati; Chlamydiota.
GCCCAAGUAGCUCAGAGGUAGAGUACUUGCAUGGUAAGCAAGCGGUCGCAGGUUCGAUUCCUGUCUUGGGCA